This 325-nucleotide ribosomal RNA is filed under the name uncultured Sandonidae. RNAcentral's name for it is "bacterial SSU rRNA". The stretch from base 81 to 325 matches the Rfam family "Eukaryotic small subunit ribosomal RNA", at positions 712 to 955 of the family's 1831-position model. Lineage: Eukaryota; Cercozoa; Glissomonadida; Viridiraptoridae. The record is from RNAcentral.
GAUUUCUGACAAGGCAUGCCUAGCCCGCCACCUCUGGUGUGUGAGUGCCGGGUUGUGUCUGUCAUCCUUCUAGAAAGCGGUUCUACCCUUCAUUGGGCCGGGAUUAGCGAUCUAGAUCUUUUACUUUGAAAAAAUUAGAGUGUUUCAAGCAGGCGUUUUGCUAUGAAUACAUUAGCAUGGAAUAAUAAUUUAGGACUUUGGUUCUAUUUUUGUUGGUUCAUACGAACUAAAGUAAUGAUUGAUAGGGAUAGUUGGGGGUGCUAGUAUUCAGUGGCCAGAGGUGAAAUUCUCGGAUUCACUGAAGACUAACUUAUGCGAAAGCAUU